RNAcentral lists this ribosomal RNA (384 nucleotides) under uncultured soil bacterium. RNAcentral describes it as "bacterial SSU rRNA". It matches the Rfam family "Bacterial small subunit ribosomal RNA", at positions 26 to 441 of the family's 1533-position model. The record is from RNAcentral.
AGAACGAACGCUGGCGGCAUGCCUAACACAUGCAAGUCGAACGAGACCUUCGGGUCUAGUGGCGCACGGGUGCGUAACGCGUGGGAAUCUGCCCUUGGGUUCGGAAUAACAGCGAGAAAUUGCUGCUAAUACCGGAUGAUGACGUAAGUCCAAAGAUUUAUCGCCCAAGGAUGAGCCCGCGUAGGAUUAGCUUGUUGGUGAGGUAAGAGCUCACCAAGGCGACGAUCCUUAGCUGGUCUGAGAGGAUGAUCAGCCACACUGGGACUGAGACACGGCCAGACUCCUACGGGAGCAGCAGGUGGGAAUAUGGACAAGUGGGCGAAAGCCUGAAGUCCAGGCAAUGCCGCGUGAGUGAUGAGGCUAGGUUGUAAGUCUCGUUACCGG